This is an RNA transcript of Aethalodelphis obliquidens (Pacific white-sided dolphin), 5149 nucleotides long. It is a transcript of the gene named serine/threonine kinase 17a, with no coding region annotated. Lineage: Eukaryota; Metazoa; Chordata; Mammalia; Artiodactyla; Delphinidae. The transcript is spliced from 10 exons. The record is from RefSeq and is a predicted model, not a curated record.
CGCGGCGCAGGGGAGAGCGGUUGACCUCCUCAGACGUUCUCGAGGCAGCUGGAGGCGGGACCGUGACCCGCUGGCAGCUCGGAGCUAGCCGGGCGGCCGGAGCUAAAGAGCGCCCGAGCGCCAUGAUUCCUCUGGAGAGGCCGAGCAGCGGCGGCUCUUCCCCGGCCGCCGCCCCCGGCUCGGGUCGAGUCGGCCGGGGUCUGACCACGCCGCGCCGGCUGCCGCCCCCGCCCCGCGGGCUGCUGACGGAGAUCCGCACCGCGGUGUGCACCGAGCCCUUCCAGGAUGCCUACAGCCUGAGCCCGGGCCGGGCGCUGGGCAGGGGGAAGUUUGCAGUGGUGAGGAAAUGUAUAAAGAAAGAUUCUGGAAAAGAAUUUGCAGCAAAGUUCAUGAGAAAAAGAAGAAAAGGCCAAGAUUGUCGGACAGAAAUAAUUCAUGAAAUUGCUGUUCUUGAACUAGCACAGGACGAUCCUUGGGUCAUUAAUUUACACGCAGUCUACGAGACGCCAUCGGAAAUGAUCCUAGUUCUGGAGUAUGCUGCUGGGGGUGAAAUCUUUGACCAGUGUGUUGCAGACAGAGAAGAAGCCUUUAAGGAAAAAGAUGUUCAGAGACUCAUGCGGCAGAUUUUAGAAGGUGUUCGCUUUUUACACGCUCAUGACGUAGUUCAUCUUGAUUUGAAGCCCCAGAAUAUUCUGCUGACAAGUGACUCUCCACUGGGUGACAUUAAGAUCGUUGAUUUUGGUCUUUCACGAGUACUGAAGAACGGCGAAGAGCUCCGGGAGAUUAUGGGCACUCCCGAGUACGUGGCUCCUGAAAUUCUUAGUUAUGAUCCUAUCAGCAUGGCAACGGAUAUGUGGAGCAUUGGAGUGUUGGCAUAUGUCAUGCUGACGGGAGUAUCGCCUUUCUUAGGCGAUAAUAAACAAGAAACGUUCCUCAACAUCUCACAGAUGAAUUUGAGUUAUUCUGAGGAAGAAUUUGAUGUUGUGUCUGAGUCAGCUGUUGACUUCAUCAAGACACUUUUAGUUAAGAAACCUGAAGAUCGCGCCACUGCUGAGGAGUGUCUGAAACAUCCAUGGCUAACGCAGAGCAGUGUUCAGGAACCUUCUCUCAAGGUGAAAGGAGCAUUAGAAGAGGCACAGGCCCUCCAGGAAGGCGAUCCUGUGCCUGAAAGUCAUUCAGAUACUCAGAAGCCGGAAACUGAGGAAUCCGUCGUCACAGAGGAGUUGAUUGUAGUUACUUCAUAUACUUUAGGACAGUGCAGACAGUCUGAAAAAGAGAAAAUGGAGCAAAAGGCCAUUUCCAAACGCUUUAAAUUUGAGGAACCUCUGCUGCAAGACAUUCCGGGAGAUUUUAUCUACUGAGCAGUAUUUCCCUUUAGAACUUUAAGAUUUCUAUAUUGGAAACAUUAUUUAUGGACUUCUGGCCAAAUGGUACAUGUGCUGAAAGUGGAUGACCAGGUGUCACUGGUAGAAACUAAAAUAACUUUGUCAAACUUGUGGAGUUAGAGAAAUCAAGCCAGAUUUAUAAAGUUGCCAACCAGGAGGUUUAACGGGUAAAGUUACCUUUUUCAGAGUUCUUUUUAAGAAGGGAGAUGCUUGAACCUUUUAUUUCUGCAUCCUGUUUCUCCAGAAUGAGAAUGUGUAUGCAAAGAUAUCUGUAGUCACUUUCCUUAAAACUCCAACUAAAAGUGCCAAAAUUAACAUCUUUGUAAAUCUGUUUUGCAUUAUUCAUAUCUGUAUCUGCAUAUAUGUAUGUUGAUAUUGUUACUAAAAUUGAUACUUUUUCACUUUGGAUUUUUUGAGGGGACUAAGAUUUUAAUUUAAAUAAGUAUUUUGCAAAUUUCUGAGACCUAGAAUAACAUCCGCUAGUUAAUAAUGUCUUAUUUUUAUAUUUUGUUACUGCUCUAUGUUGACUUGACUUGACUUCUGUUGUCUGUUUUCUUCCUAAUGCUUUGCAGCCUUAUCAGUGGAAAAGCCUGUGGCUAAUUUUAGGUUUUUUCUUCAACAUCACUAGUAAGAGUGGUGGUGAUUUUUCACCUCUGAAAUUGUUUUGGUUUUCAAGGUCAAAGGUUAAGUCACCCUGUAAUGUUAACCCAGUGUUCGCUCCGCGUGUCCCUCAUCACACCUUCCUUGUCUACCCUCUUUCACAGGCUGCACCCCUGCCGCCUCCUCACACGCUUGUCACCUGACUUUGGUCUCUUGCGAGAGGCAGUGUGAUCUGAUCAACACAGUGGUGCUUCGGUCAGUGAGAGGAUGCUAUUAAGUUGUUUUUGUUAAUAAAAUCCCCAGGAAUCGGGGAAGAAAUAUAAAGCACAUUCAUGCUGGCCAUCGAGCCUCUCUGCUUGUGUUGAAUUUCCUAUUAGCCCCCAAGCAAUACUAGGAAAAGUGGUAAGAUGCCAGAAUAUUUAUAAACCUUUACUUUGUUCGUAAACGAUUUGACAUUGGAAACUUUGUCAUUAGGGAGGUACCCUAAGACUUGUAAGAUUUAUAAGAAUAUACUCGGUAGCAUUUAAUUUACUUAGGAGUGAACACUUCAGCUGUAUCUGGGCCCACAGUGAACAAAUUCCUAUUUAAAAAAGUGGACAUGUAAAAGCGUAUGCUGUAUAACUUAAAGCAACUAAAUCUUCUUACACAGAACAGUCUGCGAGUCCUUAUUUACCUUGUAUUAGGUGCUUGUAUCGGGUGAACACGACUUGUCUGUGACUUGUGUGCACGCAGCGUGUGCUCUGUACCGUGAGCUACUCGGACCCAUCCCUUCGCAGUCCGCUAGGGUGUCACGUGGUGCUUUCUUCCCAGCCUGGUUGCUCAGAUGUCAGCCUCAGGACCAUGGGAACCCCUAACCAUCUGUUUUCAAGUGUGUGUAGGGUACUGGGCUGGACUUUCCCAUGCGUGGUCUGCACGAGCUCCCAGCCCUGCCUUGCAAGUGUCGCAGGCCCUGUGUUGUUCCGACACCAUCAGGUGAAAUUGAUUAGGCAGUUCGAACCCUCUGUUUGCACUGUUUUCUCACUAAAUUGGCCUAUUGAUUUAUACAGUUUCUUGAAAAGGAGCAUUUCUAAACAAGCUCUAUAAAGAGGAAGAGGAAAUUCUGCUACAGUGGCAAUUUUCAAUGAAAACCCACGGCCACAAUGCUAAAGCCUCAGACCUCAGUUUGGAAGAAAGUGUAGGAGAGAAGAGGUCGCUUAGAGGCUGCUGGACACGAGGUGAAUGCUGUGCGGCUCCGUCCACGGAGGCCUGAGCAACAUCGCUCCCUGCCACCGACAUGGAUCAUCUCAAGCACUUUGAACUGAGCAACUGCUGGAGUCGGCGGAAAGACAAGCCUGGAUGGUGGACAGGUUACCGAGGAGAGGCUCUUCCCGUGGGUGGAGGCUGGAGGCUUUUCCCAUCAUCACCCUCUCACCUCCUCCUUGAACGCCCCCCAACCCCUUCAUGGGGCCUCCUGUGGAUACAGCAUCUUUUGCCCAAGCCUCCCAACAAGCAGUAUAAAUGCUGCCUCGCCUGUAAGACCAGCGAUUGGCUCACAUUAUUUAACCAGCAACACCGUCAAGGCAAGUUUUACCAAUGAAUGGCUGGCACCAGGGAAGAGCAGCAGCCCGCUCCUCCCCGUUUCCUGAUCCCCCCGACCUCCAGCUCCGGGCUGGAAGCCGGCCAGCUCCUCCACUAAUCCCAGGCUCAGGGGGCAGUGAGUCCAGGGGAGCCAGGCAGGGGCUGCCUGCUCCUUUUGUCCUUGAGAAUUAAAACACAUCCUGGCUAAACAGCAAACAUCUCUGAGAGAGGCUUCCCGUGGGGGAAGUGAGUGAGUGUAGCUACUGGCAACCAGACAAGAAAAGCCAAUUAAUGGGGUAGAGAGCUUAUUUAAAGAAUGUGAUGAAUAAUUCUGGAACAGGACCCCAUGCCUUUAUUCAUUUGUAAUGACGGAGGCAGCAGUGUUGGAAGCUGCGACAUAGCAUCAAGUUAUGGCAGACCUAGACCACUACAACUGUCAAGUUCUUCAAAUUCAGUAGCGUGCACUGGAUAAAAUGUCUGGACUGAGCUUAAGAGCCCAAGUAGCGGCAUGCUGUCCGAGCUGUGAAACUUCUCAAGCUUUGAAAAACUAAUUCUUAUGCCACAAUCAUAUAACUAAAAUUGAAAACGGAAAUCGUUUCCAUCAGAAGGUUCUCCUCCUGCUGCCUGAUUCCCACCCACUUUCCCAUCAUACCUCUUAAAGGGGGCGUCUCUGGAUGAGGUGACAUAGAGAUAGCCCUCUGACUUGGGUCCAGAGACAGGAAUCUUCAACUGGGGGUAUAAAAUGAGAGAGGUAAGUGUAUAUAUAGUGCUGUCCUCUCAAGAGAUAACCUAUGAAAUCCAGUGAUUAUCCACAGAACCUGGUUGUUUUCGAACUUGAGCCUAGCUGAAGAAUUCACCUUAUUUUCCAUCUGGCUCCCUUCAAAUGCCCUGCCCCUCUCUGGAUGGCCUGGUGAGGUCAAUGGCAGUGCUCCUAUCUGGCAAGGAGACCUUAUGUGCCAAACUCAAUGUUCUGAGUACUUGCAAUGAUUAUUUUUUAAAUCCACGGUUAAAAAAGAACUACUGAUGUGUGCAACAACAUGGAUAAAGGUCAAAAACAUGCAGAGUGAAAGAGCCUUACCCAAGAGUAUAUAAUGCGUGAUUCCAUGUCUUAGACCAAACUAGGCUGGGAAAAAAAUGUCAGAAAGUGCCUCUGCUGGAGCUGUGGGGAUGUGAGAGGACCAACUGGGAAAAGCAUGAGGCAGCUCUCAGGUGAGGGAACAGUCUACAUGUAGGCAGGGGCUUGAGUUGCACAGGUGGAUGCAUUUGUUAAAAUUCAUCAGGACGGUUAGUUAGAUGUGCAUCUUUCACAGAAUGUAAAUUUUACCUCACAGAAUGUAAAUUUUACCUCAAAAAAUAUAUAUUAAGCUCUAGUUACUGAUAUAUAUGGCUUAUGUAUUUAAAGGUGAAAUGUAUGGAUAUUUGAAAAUAAUAAGAUAGAUAGGUUUCAAGAACAAAUAAGGUAGAGCUAGACAAACAGGUAUGGGAUAAAAGCACACACUGAGCAAAGUAUUAGUUACAGAAUCCAGGUGGCAGAUAUAUGGGUUCCACAGCAUAAAUGCUUUGAUAUUUUCUAUAUGUUUGAAACUUUCAUAAUAAAAUAGAAAAAC